UGCUUGAUGUACUUCCUUGCUUUCCUGCAAGAAAAGCUCAUGUCCUGGACACCAGCGGACUGCACACUGGACACUUCAGGUGUCUCUGAAGCAAAGCUGAGGGGACAGUAUGAAUCAGGAACAGCAGGGCCAGCUGCAGGUACAGGCAAUGUAGGCAGGUUGCCUAUGGAUGCAGAUGUUCAGGGUGGCACAAUGGUCCCAAUAAAGAGCAGCCAAGCUCUA
Molecule: long non-coding RNA, 222 nt
Organism: Neopelma chrysocephalum (saffron-crested tyrant-manakin)
Lineage: Eukaryota; Metazoa; Chordata; Aves; Passeriformes; Pipridae
Exons: 2
Source: RefSeq, a predicted model, not a curated record